RNAcentral lists this ribosomal RNA (428 nucleotides) under uncultured bacterium. RNAcentral describes it as "partial 16S ribosomal RNA". It matches the Rfam family "Bacterial small subunit ribosomal RNA", at positions 354 to 796 of the family's 1533-position model. The record is from RNAcentral.
GUGGGGAAUAUUGGGCAAUGGGCGAAAGCCUGACCCAGCAACGCCGCGUGAAGGAAGAAGGUCUUCGGAUUGUAAACUUCUGUCAUUGGGGACGAAGGAAGUGACGGUACCCGAUGAGGAAGCCCCGGCUAACUACGUGCCAGCAGCCGCGGUAAUACGUAGGGGGCGAGCGUUGUCCGGAAUUACUGGGCGUAAAGGGUGCGUAGGCGGCGAUGCAAGUCCAUUGUGAAAAGCCCGGGCUUAACCUGGGAGGUGCAGUGGAAACUGUAUGGCUUGAGUGCAGGAGAGGAAAGUGGAAUUCCUAGUGUAGCGGUGAAAUGCGUAGAUAUUAGGAGGAACACCAGUGGCGAAGGCGGCUUUCUGGACUGUAACUGACACUGAGGCACGAAAGCGUGGGGAGCAAACAGGAUUAGAUACCCGAGUAGUCC